Molecule: long non-coding RNA, 439 nt
Filed under: Mytilus galloprovincialis (Mediterranean mussel)
Lineage: Eukaryota; Metazoa; Mollusca; Bivalvia; Mytilida; Mytilidae
Source: RNAcentral
GGUGAAAUUGUUUAUCAGGUCAAGAUCUAUCUGCCCUGAAAUUUUCAGAUGAAUCGGACAACCCGUUGUUGGGUUGCUGCCCCUGAAUUGGUAAUUUUAAGGAAAUUUUGCUGUUUUUGGUUAUUAUCUUGAAUAUUAUUAUAGAUAGAGAUAAACUGUAAACAGCAAUAAUGUUCAGCAAAGUAAGAUUUACAAAUAAGUCUACAUGACCGAAAUGGUCAGUUGACCCCUUUCGGAGUUAUUGCCCUUUAUAGUCAAUUUUUAACCAUUUUUCGUAAAUCUUAGUAAUCUUUUACAAAAAUCUUCUCCUCUGAAACUACUGGGCCAAAUUAAACCAAACUUGGCCACAAUCAUCAUUGGGGUAUCUAGUUUUAAAAAUGUGUGGCGUGACCCGGCCAACUAACCAAAAUGGCUGCCACAGCUAAAAAUAGAACAUAGG